GACGAACGCUGGCGGCGUGCUUAACACAUGCAAGUCGAACGGAAAGGCCCUGCUUGCAGGGUACUCGAGUGGCGAACGGGUGAGUAACACGUGGGUGAUCUGCCCUGCACUUCGGGAUAAGCCUGGGAAACUGGGUCUAAUACCGGAUAGGAGCCAUUUUUAGUGUGAUGGUUGGAAAGUUUUUUCGGUGUAGGAUGAGCUCGCGGCCUAUCAGCUUGUUGGUGGGGUAAUGGCCUACCAAGGCGGCGACGGGUAGCCGGCCUGAGAGGGUGGACGGCCACAUUGGGACUGAGAUACGGCCCAGACUCCUACGGGAGGCAGCAGUGGGGAAUAUUGCACAAUGGGCGCAAGCCUGAUGCAGCGACGCCGCGUGGGGGAUGACGGCCUUCGGGUUGUAAACUCCUUUCGCUAGGGAUGAAGCUUUUUGUGACGGUACCUAGAGAAGAAGCACCGGCUAACUACGUG
RNAcentral lists this ribosomal RNA (465 nucleotides) under uncultured bacterium. RNAcentral describes it as "partial 16S ribosomal RNA". It matches the Rfam family "Bacterial small subunit ribosomal RNA", at positions 28 to 507 of the family's 1533-position model. The record is from RNAcentral.